CUGGAGUCUCCUGCCUGGACAGGCGGUCCAUGCCGUCCCGCCAGCCCCACCCCUCAGCCCAGCACCUCCUUGCUGUCCAGGGUUCCGCUUGGCCCUCUCACUCCUGAGACCCCUCUUCCCCACGUCUGGGUCUGCAGAGGAGCAGCAGUUCUUACCUCGUGUGGGCUUGGGCAGGCCGAAGCGGGAGGAAGGACGCAUUUCCUGGCCCAAGGGUCUGGGCCCCUGGAGAGUCAGGCCACCUCAGACUCUGCCCUGGCGCUCCCUCUGCCUGGCUUCCUCUGUCCUUGGAGUCCGGCCACCGUUUGCAAGGUGACAGGUUGCCUUGACUGUGUUUUCAUUGUCUGUCUUCCCUCCACACAGUGAGGGUCAGUUCAGGCAGGGACCGAAACUCCCCUGCUCAGCACCGGGUCCUUUGUGUCUAGAAGAGUGUCUGCAGCCAACGGGUGUCAGGACUUCUUGUUAAAUGAGGGGGUACCUGUCAAUGCACCUCUUGCCUCCCGCUGGCGAGGAAUCUGUCCUCCCCUGUCCCCGCAGGUGCCACCCCCACUCUGAGCUGUCAGUCACCCCCCCACACCCCCGCUGCUCACCUGCACUGCCCUGAACCCACGCCCUACCCUGAUUUUUGGUCACUGCCGACUUUGGAAAUCCUGACACCAUGUUCCCCACUGCUGAGCCGUGUGGGCUUGCAAACCUGCCUUAAUCAGCCAAUGCCAUCAACCUGGUGACAAUGGAGAGUGGCGCCCCGAAGAGUUUGCUCAGGAGCAUCGUACCCCUGAGUGCACUGGGAAGCUUGGGUGUAUUCAGAGAGGCAAAGGACGGUGAGGGCUCUUAAAGGUGAAGCGAAGCUGGUUACAGAAGUCAUCGUGAAACAGUGACCCUGGCUGCAAGGAUCAACGACAGGGUGGUGUCGUUCUCAUGGGGGACACAGUGGCUGGGCAGACGUCCUUGUGGAAUUAUUUCCGUGUAAGUCCACAGUCACCUUUGCACCAGGCUGUGGCUCGCGAUGGCAAUAGUUAUCAGGUAUGCGUGCAUAGGAGUGCCCCCUUCCCUGGCUGUGCUUUGUUAGGGUGGACACAAAUGACUCCAUUUUGAUACUGACACUCAUGAUGCCACCAACAAUGCUCUGGGUCUCCAAUGGGUGGGGUCUGUCCUCUAAGCUUAAAAUCUGGAGAUGGGGGAAGGCAGACAAGCAAACAGACCAACAAGCAUUGGAGGGGCUGGGGUGGGCCUGGGCCCUGGGGUGCCCUGGGAGGCAAUAAUUCCAUGGCCUUCUAGAGCUGGAUCCUGGCUGGUGCUUGUAUGUCCUCGGCUCCAGGUGCCCAAACCCAAAUGUAGCCAGUCGAAGUCCAAGAGAAACAUCUGGCUCAAGUUGUCAAACUGGAGAAGAGCAAGUGGAGGCUGCAGAGUGGAGGCUGCAGAGUGGAGGCUCCCAACGGGCCAAACAACGAGGACUCAGUCCCUUCUGCAGCUGUGUGUGUACCGGCUUCUCUCUGUGCUUCAGGCUGUUUUCCUCUGCUGUGGUUUAUCAGGAAUUUGGGUCCAGGGGCUCUAAGCCUGGGAGGAAAGGCUCUUCUGUCUCAGGAGUCUUGCGAAUCCUGGGGGAGGAAGGGUCAGCCUGGCUGGUCAUGAGCUCCCCUGGACCCAUCAUUUUAACCUAGGGAUGAGGCAGUGGGCAGCAGAGAUCAGUCCCACACGCAGCUCUGUGAUGGGGAGAAGGAAGAAGGGGGCAGGAUGACCUGAAGCCGCCUCUCCAGUCACCUCCUGGGAUCUGGUCUGCGGUCGGACCUCACCUCCCACUGGGGGCCACCUACAUGGCCCCCGCCUGCUUGGGAGUCCCUGCUGCGGAAUCCCUCUGCCUGCUACUGGCCGGUGCCUGGGGCAGGCGAGCUCUUGUCCUGCCUGUCUAGGCACCUCUGUCCCCACCUCCACGGCAGAGCACUGUGCCCUGCCCUCGACCCCCGGGCCCAGCGAACUCCGGCUGCUCUGAGGUUCCACAGCAGGGCCAGCUCCUCCAGGUGUUUUGGGAAGUCACUGCUUCUGUCCCCACGUGCUUCCUAGCAGACUGAGGACCCCGAGGGCGGAG
RNAcentral lists this long non-coding RNA (2083 nucleotides) under Marmota monax (woodchuck). Lineage: Eukaryota; Metazoa; Chordata; Mammalia; Rodentia; Sciuridae. The record is from RNAcentral.